GGUAACCCAAGCAACCAACCAUAAAAUUACCAUCCUGCAUUAAGGUAAAAUUUUAUCAGAAAACCUUGCAUAGAAAUAGGAAAAUUCCAAUCAGAAAACGGAAAAUAGUUGAUUAUAGAACUGCAAAACGGACAUUGUUAAGCAUGCUGCCCUCUCAUAUAUCCCAAUUUAGCCAAUAGAUGAUUUCACACAACAGACACGCUCUUGAUGUAGUGAUAUCUACAGUAACAUGCUGGUCUUCAAAAGGAAAAUUUUAGGCCUGGUGCUUUAGUGAUGGCCCUCAGGGGCCGGAUUUAGUGCAACUCCUACAAGUUCAAUUGAACCCAUAACUUUUGACGCAGUGCAUAAAUAAAUGUAUAAAAAUUUACUAAAAUUGCAACAACAUGUGAAUAUGAACCCAUAACUAAUAAUAUAACAGGUUCAAUAUCAUGAAUCUUAAAAGCUGCACUCAUAGAGUUUAUCCGCCUCCGAUGGCCCUUAAGAGAAUGCUGACGGACUCAAGUUAAUGGUAUCCUAGUUCUAUGAAUAAUCAUCAAACUUCUUCUCAGCAAUUAAUCUGUUGUCUCCCAUUAAAGUGCACAUGCUGAACAAAAGAGGCACAAUGGAGCUGGAGGUGGAGAAGAGACCCCAAAAAAUAAGAAAGAAAGUAAUUGUAAGCAUUACCGGUUUUUGUUUGAGUACCAUAUCUGACUCUAGACAAAGUCCACAUCUCCGCACGACAUCUCCAACUACUUGUUGCUCGCCACUGCUGGAUCUAUUUGAU
This 763-nucleotide long non-coding RNA is filed under the name Nicotiana benthamiana. RNAcentral describes it as "long non-coding RNA (NBEN_LNC007553)". Lineage: Eukaryota; Viridiplantae; Streptophyta; Magnoliopsida; Solanales; Solanaceae. The record is from RNAcentral.